Antechinus flavipes (yellow-footed antechinus) is the source of this 1155-nucleotide long non-coding RNA. RefSeq lists it as uncharacterized. The transcript is spliced from 2 exons. The record is from RefSeq and is a predicted model, not a curated record. Lineage: Eukaryota; Metazoa; Chordata; Mammalia; Dasyuromorphia; Dasyuridae.
AAAACUUCUUGUAAUACCAGAUUUGGGGGGCAGAAGAUAAGGCAGCUGUUCUACGGGGUUUCAGGAUAGCAACUGGCUUAAUAAGGAGAUGUACUAUAAACUAUAAUGAAGAAGAGUGACACUGGUGCUUUUUUUGAAGAUUAUAUGGUUAUGAUGGAAAGGAAGACAGAACUGACCUAGGAAAAUGGAAGCUGAAGCCCUGAGAGGUUCCCAGGAAUGAAUGAAUAACCUAAAUAAUGGAAUCUUUUAUAAUGUAGAUCACCUUCUAUCAUGCCCUAACUGCUCCUGCAAAGACAUGCUGGUGCCCUUCAGAAUGAACAGUGAAUGAAAUCGAUCCUAGACCCAGAGAUGGGAAUAUUUCUAACCUAAAGAUAUCCUCCUACCAGCACAGAAUAUCACCAUCCAACAUCACACAUUUGUGGUUCUGUAACACCAAGUAUCAUAGUGUGAACAAACCCAGAAACAAAACUCAAGAAGAGAACAAAUUUCUUACUAUUUUAGAUGUAAAAUAUAGACUGAGUAUAUAUUGAGGGAAGGAAAAGGGGGAGCAAAGAAAAGGAAAGUGAGAAAAUUAUUGGGGGGAGAGGGGAAGGAGAGAAGCACAGAAAAGGGAAAAUAAGAGAGGGGAAGAAAAAAGAGGUGAAGGUACAAAGGAAGGGGAAAGCAAAGAGUUCAACUCAAAUAUCAGCAUAUGUAAAGGUACUAUCCUUCCUAGAGAAAAAGACAAUGAAGCUUUAAGUCAGGGAAAUAAAACUUUUCAGCUCACAAACUAAAACAGUAUUUAAUAUUCAGCAAUUAAUAACAGAGCUACCAGAGUUGCUGAGUUUGCAGCUUUGCUAAUGCAUGACGCAUUAACUCAUUAUACUGAAGCCAAAACAGGCACAAUUUUCCUCAAGCUUCCCUUUUAAGGAAGAACUGCAGACUUGGCUGUUGGUUAAGUUAAAUAAGGACAGGUUUUAUUGUUUUAAAAAAUGCCAAGGAGACAGCAAAGCUAUGCUCCAACUAUUUAAGAAGGAAGAACCUGGAAAUUUAUUGCCUUAAUCAGUAUUGCUCACUUUAAUUUUAAAAGCUUACAUUUUAUGGAACUAGAACCUAAAAAAAAUAAAUGGCAGCAUUAAAUUAAAUGAGAGAAAAAAUUCCAAAUAGCAACUGAAA